RNAcentral lists this ribosomal RNA (1009 nucleotides) under uncultured bacterium. Its description in RNAcentral is "bacterial SSU rRNA". It matches the Rfam family "Bacterial small subunit ribosomal RNA", at positions 380 to 1398 of the family's 1533-position model. The record is from RNAcentral.
ACUCUGACGCAGUGACGCCGCGUGCAGGAAGAAGGUUUUCGGAUUGUAAACUGCUUUAGACAGGGAAGAGAAAGGACAGUACCUGUAGAAUAAGCUCCGGCUAACUACGUGCCAGCAGCCGCGGUAAUACGUAGGGAGCGAGCGUUAUCCGGAUUUAUUGGGUGUAAAGGGUGCGUAGACGGGAAUACAAGUUAGUUGUGAAAUACCUCGGCUUAACUGAGGAACUGCAACUAAAACUAUAUUUCUUGAGUGCAGGAGAGGUAAGUGGAAUUCCUAGUGUAGCGGUGAAAUGCGUAGAUAUUAGGAGGAACACCAGUGGCGAAGGCGACUUACUGGACUGAAACUGACGUUGAGGCACGAAAGUGUGGGGAGCAAACAGGAUCAGAUACCCUGGUAGUCCACACCGUAAACGAUAGGAUUAUAGAGUGUAGGGGGAUAGUAAUUUUUUGUUGUUCCGUCGCAAACGCAGUAAUAUCCCCCCUUGGAGGGUACGCCCGCAAGGUGAAAAUCAAGGGAAUGACGGGGGGCCCGCCCAGCCAGUGGAGUAUGUGGUUUAAUUAGAAAGCAACGCGAAAGAACCAUACCCAGGCCUUGCCAUAUAGAUGAAUAUAUAGAGGAUUAUAUGGCUUUUCGGAGCAUCUAUACAGGGGGUGCAUGGGUGUUGUCAGGCUUGUGUUCGUGAGAUGUUGGGUUAAGUCCCGCAACGAGCGCAACCCCUGUUUCUAGUUGCCAGCAUGUAAAGAUGGGAACUCUAGAAAGACUGCCGUAGAUAAUACGGAGGAAGGUGGGGAUGACGUCAAAUCAUCAUCCCCUUUAUGUCUUGGGCUACACACGUACUACAAUGGCUGUAACAGAGGGAAGCGAACCAGUGAUGGUAAGCGAAACCCGAAAAGCAGUCACAGUUCGGAUUGAAGGCUGAAACUCGCCUUCAUGAAGCCGGAAUUGCUAGUAAUGGCAGGUCAGCAUACUGCCGUGAAUACGUUCCCGGGCCUUGCACUCAACGCCCGUC